This 335-nucleotide long non-coding RNA is filed under the name Capsicum annuum. RNAcentral's name for it is "long non-coding RNA (CANN_LNC004779)". The record is from RNAcentral. Lineage: Eukaryota; Viridiplantae; Streptophyta; Magnoliopsida; Solanales; Solanaceae.
AAGUAUAGGAAAAUAUACAGAUAUACACGGUGGUAGUAUCAAAUCAGCAGCAAGGAAAUACAAGGCUCACACAAAUUCAAAGGAAUACUCCCGAAACAAAACUAUACUCAAUUAGGGGGCAAACACCACCGGACUCAACACCCACCGCCCCAAAUACAGUUUCCCAGCCAAUAACCCAAUCCAAAGCAGUGUAAGAAACGACCACAGCGACAGCAACAACAGACAACAGACAAUGUCCACAAAUUCCACCCAAGUCAAGGUACAGGGGCUACUACUAGCAUAAUACUAAGAAUGGAAUAUGAAAUAACGAAAAUAACAAAGGUUAGAAGUCACCG